Hibiscus syriacus is the source of this 260-nucleotide long non-coding RNA. RefSeq lists it as uncharacterized. The record is from RefSeq and is a predicted model, not a curated record. Lineage: Eukaryota; Viridiplantae; Streptophyta; Magnoliopsida; Malvales; Malvaceae. The transcript has 3 exons.
GUUUUCAGGAACCUUCCAAAGAUUAUAGAGGCUUUGAGCUUUGAUGGUUCGAGUGUGCAGCAGAUAGAAUCUUCAAAGCAUGAGCAGCUGUCAGGUAAAUCCUGGGUUUCUCCGACGGAGCGAUAUGCAAUAGUUCCCCAUGAAAGUGGAUAAACGGUUCAUUCGGAAAGGGGUAAUGGCGGUGAUGUGAGCGUCCCCGAGACCGCCGUAACGCGAAUACGAAUGUGAUUCCUCGCCUCCAGUCUGAAAAUGAAAGUGAA